UACGGAGGGUGCAAGCGUUGCUCGGAAUCAUUGGGCGUAAAGCGCGUGUAGGCGGUUGUCUAAGUCUGAUGUGAAAUCCCGGGGCUCAACCCCGGAACUGCAUCGGAUACUGGACAGCUAGAGGAUGAGAGAGGAUGGUGGAAUUCCAGGUGUAGGGGUGAAAUCCGUAGAUAUCUGGAGGAACAUCGGUGGCGAAGGCGGCCAUCUGGCUCAUUUCUGACGCUGAGACGCGAAAGCGUGGGGAGCAAACAGG
RNAcentral lists this ribosomal RNA (253 nucleotides) under uncultured bacterium. RNAcentral's name for it is "partial 16S ribosomal RNA". It matches the Rfam family "Bacterial small subunit ribosomal RNA", at positions 524 to 776 of the family's 1533-position model. The record is from RNAcentral.